RNAcentral lists this ribosomal RNA (468 nucleotides) under uncultured bacterium. Its description in RNAcentral is "partial 16S ribosomal RNA". It matches the Rfam family "Bacterial small subunit ribosomal RNA", at positions 28 to 507 of the family's 1533-position model. The record is from RNAcentral.
GACGAACGCUGGCGGCGUGCUUAACACAUGCAAGUCGAACGGAAAGGCCCUGCUUUUGUUGGGUGCUCGAGUGGCGAACGGGUGAGUAACACGUGAGUAACCUGCCCUUGACUUUGGGAUAACUUCAGGAAACUGUUGCUAAUACCGGAUAGGAGCUCCUGCUGCAUGGGGGGGGUUGGAAAGUUUCGGCGGUUGGGGAUGGACUCGCGGCUUAUCAGCUUGUUGGUGGGGUAGUGGCUUACCAAGGCUUUGACGGGUAGCCGGCCUGAGAGGGUGACCGGCCCCAUUGGGCCUGAGAUACGGACCAGACUCGUACGGGAGGCAGCGGUGGGGAAUAUUGCCCAAUGGGCGGAAGUGCGAUGCGACAACGCCGCGUGCGGGAUCCGGGCCUUCGGGUUAUAAAACGCUUUCGCCUGUGACGAAGCGUGAGUGACGGUACUGGGUAAAGAAGCACCGGCUAACUACGUG